Molecule: ribosomal RNA, 440 nt
Filed under: uncultured bacterium
Lineage: Bacteria
Description: partial 16S ribosomal RNA
Rfam family: Bacterial small subunit ribosomal RNA
Source: RNAcentral
CCUACGGGAGGCAGCAGUGGGGAAUAUUGGACAAUGGGGGGAACCCUGAUGCAGCGACGCCGCGUGAGUGAAGAAGUAUUUCGGUAUGUAAAGCUCUAUCAGCAGGGAAGAAAAUGACGGUACCUGACUAAGAAGCCCCGGCUAACUACGUGCCAGCAGCCGCGGUAAUACGUAGGGGGCAAGCGUUAUCCGGAUUUACUGGGUGUAAAGGGAGCGUAGGUGGAGGGGUAAGUCUGAUGUGAAAGCUAGGGGCCAAACCCGGGGACUGCAUUGGAAACUAUUCAACUAGAGUGCUGGAGGGGUAAGCGGAAUUCCUAGUGUAGCGGUGAAAUGCGUAGAUAUUAGGAGGAACACCAGUGGCGAAGGCGGCUUACUGGACAGAAACUGACAUUGAGGCUCGAAAGCGUGGGGAGCAAACAGGAUUAGAUACCCGAGUAGUC